Non-coding RNA from Pogona vitticeps (central bearded dragon), 853 nucleotides. NCBI's taxonomy places the organism in Eukaryota, Metazoa, Chordata, Lepidosauria, Squamata, Agamidae. The record is from RefSeq and is a predicted model, not a curated record.
AUCAUGAAGGCUGACAGAUUCAUGUGCUAACUGUCUUGUGUGACCAUGGAUUUUGAGCUACAGAAAAAACUGAGAUGAAUUUGGUAAUUUGAAAAAUGCAAAGCAAAUUGAAGAUCUUGAAAAAUUGAAAGGAAUUCUUCGGACAGAUCUGCAAAUUUCCAGUAUAAUGUUUUAAGAGUUAUCUAUGACAACAAUGAAAUGGGAAGAACCCUUGUGAACUGACCCAUCGCCCAAUCCAUACUACAACAGUGAAGGAGAGCACCAUAAGGAAACAGAAUGGAAAGGGUCCUCCCUAGAAGAAGGCAUGCCUCAGUUGGAGGGUUGUGGAGAUUUGCUGGAGGCUCCAGCCACCGGACCCUGCCCAAAGACACCAGAAGCAAAGCCUGGUCCAACUAACGAAGACUCAUUUCCUCCAAAAGAAAGGGUGCCUCAGAGGAAUAACAAAGAAUACGGGAAGACCAAAGAACAGCUGAGAUGAAAUAAACUUCUUUGACAAAAACAUUCCAGCUGAUGUGAAUAGCUGAGUAAAAGCAGUUGGUAUGAGGAUGGGUGCCCACGGUACCCACAAAUAAAAGAAAAAAAAUAAAGAGUAAACACUUAAUAAAAAUCAGAUGUGGCAUGAGUCAAAACUGACUUCCAUCCAGCCCCAAAGGGAUAUCAUCAGGUCCUGAUGAAGAAUUUCCAGUCAGCUCAUGACCAAAUUUAUUUCUGACCUGCCUAUCCAGCUCUCAAUCUUACGUUCUCAAUCAGCAGGCCUGGUUAAAAUUCAGAAGACCAGAAAGCAGCUCACAACAGUUUAAAACCAUAAUACAAUAUGAAACCAACAUUCGGUUAAAAAGAAUUAAAAAACACA